Molecule: ribosomal RNA, 559 nt
Filed under: Mecopus bispinosus
Lineage: Eukaryota; Metazoa; Arthropoda; Insecta; Coleoptera; Curculionidae
Description: partial 16S ribosomal RNA
Rfam family: Bacterial large subunit ribosomal RNA
Source: RNAcentral
GUCCUUUUGAUUAUAAUUUAAGGUCUGACCUGCCCAAUGAAUGUAAAAGUUUAAAUGGCCGCAGUAUUUUGACUGUGCAAAGGUAGCAUAAUCAUUAGUUUUUUAAUUGAAAGCUUGUAUGAAAGGUCGAAUGAGAAAAUGACUGUCUCUAUUUAAAUUUAUUAAAAUUUUAUUUUUAAGUAAAAAAGCUUAAAUAUUUAUAAAAGACGAGAAGACCCUAUAGAGUUUUAUAAAAAUUAAUAUAAAAUUUUUUGGUAUUAAUAUGUUUAAUAUUAAUUUUUAUUUGGUUGGGGUGAUUUAAAAAUUAAAGAAACUUUUUAUUAAUAUUGUUACAUUUAUUUAUGAGUAAAUGAUCCUUUUUUAAAGAUUAAAAGAUUAAAUUACCUUAGGGAUAACAGCGUAAUUUUUUUUUAGAGUUCAAAUCGAAAAAAGAGAUUGCGACCUCGAUGUUGGAUUAAAAUACUUGUUUGGUGUAGGAGCUAAAUAAAUAGGUCUGUUCGACCUUUAAUAUUUUACAUGAUCUGAGUUUAAACCGGCGUGAGCCAGGUCGGUUUCUAUC